CCCUUUGGGGUGUGACUGCGUACCUUUUGUAUAAUGGGUCAGCGACUUAUAUUCUGUAGCAAGGUUAACCGUAUAGGGGAGCCGUAGGGAAACCGAGUCUUAACCGGGCGUUAAGUUGCAGGGUAUAGACCCGAAACCCGGUGAUCUAGCCAUGGGCAGGUUGAAGGUUGGGUAACACUAACUGGAGGACCGAACCGACUAAUGUUGAAAAAUUAGCGGAUGACCUGUGGCUGGGGGUGAAAGGCCAAUCAAACCGGGAGAUAGCUGGUUCUCCCCGAAAGCUAUUUAGGUAGCGCCUCGUGAAUUCAUCUCCGGGGGUAGAGCACUGUUUCGGCUAGGGGGCCAUCCCGGCUUACCAACCCGAUGCAAACUGCGAAUACCGGAGAAUGUUAUCACGGGAGACACACGGCGGGUGCUAACGUCCGUCGUGAAGAGGGAAACAACCCAGACCGCCAGCUAAGGUCCCAAAGUCAUGGUUAAGUGGGAAACGAUGUGGGAAGGCCCAGACAGCCAGGAUGUUGGCUUAGAAGCAGCCAUCAUUUAAAGAAAGCGUAAUAGCUCACUGGUCGAGUCGGCCUGCGCGGAAGAUGUAACGGGGCUAAACCAUG
RNAcentral lists this ribosomal RNA (608 nucleotides) under Salmonella enterica subsp. enterica serovar Heidelberg. Its description in RNAcentral is "partial 23S ribosomal RNA". It matches the Rfam family "Bacterial large subunit ribosomal RNA", at positions 582 to 1191 of the family's 2925-position model. Lineage: Bacteria; Pseudomonadati; Pseudomonadota; Gammaproteobacteria; Enterobacterales; Enterobacteriaceae. The record is from RNAcentral.